This 402-nucleotide ribosomal RNA is filed under the name uncultured bacterium. RNAcentral describes it as "bacterial SSU rRNA". It matches the Rfam family "Bacterial small subunit ribosomal RNA", at positions 355 to 774 of the family's 1533-position model. The record is from RNAcentral.
UAAGGAAUGUUGGUCAAUGGACACAAGUCUGAUCCAGCCAUGCCGCGUGAGUGAUGAAGGCCUUAGGGUUGUAAAGCUCUUUCGCACGCGACGAUAAUGACGGUAGCGUGAGAAGAAGCCCCGGCUAACUUCGUGCCAGCAGCCGCGGUAAUACGAAGGGGGCUAGCGUUGUUCGGAAUUACUGGGCGUAAAGCGCGCGCAGGCGGGUCAUCAAGUCAGAGGUGAAAGCCCGGAGCUUAACUCCGGAAUAGCCUUUGAAACUGUUGAUCUUGAGUACGGGAGAGGUGAGUGGAAUUCCCAGUGUAGAGGUAAAAUUCGUAGAUAUUGGGAAGAACACCAGUGGCGAAGGCGGCUCACUGGCCCGUUACUGACGCUCAGGCGCGAUAGCGUGGGGAUCAAACA